GGCGGGGUAACGGCCCACCAAGGCAUCGAUGGAUAGGGGUUCUGAGAGGAAGGUCCCCCACAUUGGAACUGAGACACGGUCCAAACUCCUACGGGAGGCAGCAGUGAGGAAUAUUGGUCAAUGGGCGCUAGCCUGAACCAGCCAAGUAGCGUGAAGGAUGACUGCCCUAUGGGUUGUAAACUUCUUUUAUAUGGGAAUAAAGUGCAGUAUGUAUACUGCUUUGCAUGUACCUUAUGAAUAAGGAUCGGCUAACUCCGUGCCAGCAGCCGCGGUAAUACGGAGGAUCCGAGCGUUAUCCGGAUUUAUUGGGUUUAAAGGGAGCGUAGGCGGGUUGUUAAGUCAGUUGUGAAAGUUUGCGGCUCAACCGUAAAAUUGCAGUUGAUACUGGCAUCCUUGAGUACAGUAGAGGUAGGCGGAAUUCGUGGUGUAGCGGUGAAAUGCUUAGAUAUCACGAAGAACUCCGAUUGCGAAGGCAGCCUGCUGGACUGUAACUGACGCUGAUGCUCGAAAGUGUGGGUAUCAAACAGGAUUAGAUACCCUGGUAGUCCACACAGUAAACGAUGAAUACUCGCUGUUUGCGAUAUACAGUAA
Molecule: ribosomal RNA, 591 nt
Filed under: uncultured bacterium
Lineage: Bacteria
Description: bacterial SSU rRNA
Rfam family: Bacterial small subunit ribosomal RNA
Source: RNAcentral